UACGGAGGAUCCAAGCGUUAUCCGGAUUUAUUGAGUUUAAAGGGUGCGUAGGCGGAAUUGUAAGUCAGUGGUGAAAGCCCUUCGCUUAACGAAGGAACUGCCAUUGAUACUGCAAAUCUUGAGUACAUUUGAUGUGGGCGGAAUGUGUCAUGUAGCGGUGAAAUGCUUAGAUAUGACACAGAACACCGAUUGCGAAGGCAGCUCACAAAACUGUAACUGACGCUGAGGCACGAAAGCGUGGGUAUCAAACAGG
This 253-nucleotide ribosomal RNA is filed under the name uncultured bacterium. Its description in RNAcentral is "partial 16S ribosomal RNA". It matches the Rfam family "Bacterial small subunit ribosomal RNA", at positions 524 to 776 of the family's 1533-position model. The record is from RNAcentral.